Molecule: long non-coding RNA, 306 nt
Filed under: Gossypium barbadense (sea-island cotton)
Lineage: Eukaryota; Viridiplantae; Streptophyta; Magnoliopsida; Malvales; Malvaceae
Description: long non-coding RNA (GBAR_LNC006430)
Source: RNAcentral
UUAAGUGAUUUUAGACUAGAUUGUUAUAAGGCCUUCCAUUUUGUUAUUAUUUGGAUUAUUAUUUUUAUAUGAUGUAUUUAUAAGAAGUUGAACAUAGUUUCUUAAACUAUAGUAUGUCUUUUCUAUGUUUUCGCAACUAAAUUUUUAAAGUGACUUAUUUUCAUCAAAUCAUAUGUUUUGAACAAGUGAUUGGAAGGAGUUUUUUUUUAUAAUUAAGAUUUUUUUUAUUUUAAGAACGGUUUUCAAUGAAAACAGGUUUUCGCUAAAACACUUGAAUGUGACAUGCCAGAUUCGGCUAUAAUGUCC